ACCGAACGGAUCGCAUUAUAAUUAUCAUUAUUUGAUGAUUGGCGAUAGAUCAUUCAAGUUUCUGACCUAUCAGCUUUCGACGGUAGUGUAUUGGACUACCGUGGCAGUGACGGGUAACGGGGAAUUAGGGUUCGAUUCCGGAGAGGGAGCCUGAGAAACGGCUACCACAUCUAAGGAAGGCAGCAGGCGCGCAAAUUACCCAAUCCUGACUCAGGGAGGUAGUGACAAGAAAUAACAACACUGGAAAUUUGAUUUCUAGUGAUUGGAAUGAUGGGAAUCCAAACCCCUUUCAGAGUAACAAUUGGAGGGCAAGUCUGGUGCCAGCAGCCGCGGUAAUUCCAGCUCCAAUAGCGUAUAUUAAAGUUGUUGCAGUUAAAAAGCUCGUAGUUGGAUGUCUGUUGGAAGCAAUCAUCAGUCCGCCCUAUUUGAUUAGGGUGUGAAUAUGAUGAAUUCCGGCAUAAUUGUCUCCCUAUUGUUAAUAUUCUGAUUGUUAGAUUCAUUUCUAACAAUAAUACGAUUAUUAAUAAUAAGGGGGAAAUGUUACUUUGAGAAAAUUAGAGUGUUUGAAGCAGGCUUUUGUUGCCUUGAAUACUGCAGCAUGGAAUAACAAUAUAGGAUUUCGGUUCUAUUUUGUUGGUUCUUUUUUUAGGACUGAAAUAAUGAUUAAUAGGGACAGUUGGGGGCAUUCGUAUUUAACUGUCAGAGGUGAAAUUCUUAGAUUUGUUAAAGACGAACUACUGCGAAAGCAUUUGCCAAAGAUGUUUUCAUUAAUCAAGAACGAAAGUUAGGGGCUCGAAGACGAUCAGAUACCGUCGUAGUCUUAACCAUAAACUAUGCCGACUAGAGAUAGGAA
Molecule: ribosomal RNA, 853 nt
Filed under: Sarcocystis miescheriana
Lineage: Eukaryota; Apicomplexa; Conoidasida; Eucoccidiorida; Sarcocystidae
Description: SSU rRNA
Rfam family: Eukaryotic small subunit ribosomal RNA
Source: RNAcentral